RNAcentral lists this ribosomal RNA (253 nucleotides) under uncultured bacterium. Its description in RNAcentral is "partial 16S ribosomal RNA". It matches the Rfam family "Bacterial small subunit ribosomal RNA", at positions 524 to 776 of the family's 1533-position model. The record is from RNAcentral.
UACGGAGGGUGCAAGCGUUAUCCGGAUUUACUGGGUUUAAAGGAUGCGUAGGUGGGUCUGUAAGUCAGUGGUGAAAUCUCCGGGCUUAACCCGGAAACUGCCAUUGAUACUAUAGAUCUUGAAUAUCCUGGAGGUGAGCGGAAUAUGUCAUGUAGCGGUGAAAUGCUUAGAUAUGACAUAGAACACCAAUUGCGAAGGCAGCUCACUACGGGAUCAUUGACACUGAGGCACGAAAGCGUGGGGAUCAAACAGG